This 1459-nucleotide ribosomal RNA is filed under the name Lactiplantibacillus plantarum. Its description in RNAcentral is "bacterial SSU rRNA". It matches the Rfam family "Bacterial small subunit ribosomal RNA". The record is from RNAcentral. Lineage: Bacteria; Bacillati; Bacillota; Bacilli; Lactobacillales; Lactobacillaceae.
UGACUAAUACAUGCAAGUCGAACGAACUCUGGUAUUGAUUGGUGCUUGCAUCAUGAUUUACAUUUGAGUGAGUGGCGAACUGGUGAGUAACACGUGGGAAACCUGCCCAGAAGCGGGGGAUAACACCUGGAAACAGAUGCUAAUACCGCAUAACAACUUGGACCGCAUGGUCCGAGUUUGAAAGAUGGCUUCGGCUAUCACUUUUGGAUGGUCCCGCGGCGUAUUAGCUAGAUGGUGGGGUAACGGCUCACCAUGGCAAUGAUACGUAGCCGACCUGAGAGGGUAAUCGGCCACAUUGGGACUGAGACACGGCCCAAACUCCUACGGGAGGCAGCAGUAGGGAAUCUUCCACAAUGGACGAAAGUCUGAUGGAGCAACGCCGCGUGAGUGAAGAAGGGUUUCGGCUCGUAAAACUCUGUUGUUAAAGAAGAACAUAUCUGAGAGUAACUGUUCAGGUAUUGACGGUAUUUAACCAGAAAGCCACGGCUAACUACGUGCCAGCAGCCGCGGUAAUACGUAGGUGGCAAGCGUUGUCCGGAUUUAUUGGGCGUAAAGCGAGCGCAGGCGGUUUUUUAAGUCUGAUGUGAAAGCCUUCGGCUCAACCGAAGAAGUGCAUCGGAAACUGGGAAACUUGAGUGCAGAAGAGGACAGUGGAACUCCAUGUGUAGCGGUGAAAUGCGUAGAUAUAUGGAAGAACACCAGUGGCGAAGGCGGCUGUCUGGUCUGUAACUGACGCUGAGGCUCGAAAGUAUGGGUAGCAAACAGGAUUAGAUACCCUGGUAGUCCAUACCGUAAACGAUGAAUGCUAAGUGUUGGAGGGUUUCCGCCCUUCAGUGCUGCAGCUAACGCAUUAAGCAUUCCGCCUGGGGAGUACGGCCGCAAGGCUGAAACUCAAAGGAAUUGACGGGGGCCCGCACAAGCGGUGGAGCAUGUGGUUUAAUUCGAAGCUACGCGAAGAACCUUACCAGGUCUUGACAUACUAUGCAAAUCUAAGAGAUUAGACGUUCCCUUCGGGGACAUGGAUACAGGUGGUGCAUGGUUGUCGUCAGCUCGUGUCGUGAGAUGUUGGGUUAAGUCCCGCAACGAGCGCAACCCUUAUUAUCAGUUGCCAGCAUUAAGUUGGGCACUCUGGUGAGACUGCCGGUGACAAACCGGAGGAAGGUGGGGAUGACGUCAAAUCAUCAUGCCCCUUAUGACCUGGGCUACACACGUGCUACAAUGGAUGGUACAACGAGUUGCGAACUCGCGAGAGUAAGCUAAUCUCUUAAAGCCAUUCUCAGUUCGGAUUGUAGGCUGCAACUCGCCUACAUGAAGUCGGAAUCGCUAGUAAUCGCGGAUCAGCAUGCCGCGGUGAAUACGUUCCCGGGCCUUGUACACACCGCCCGUCACACCAUGAGAGUUUGUAACACCCAAAGUCGGUGGGGUAACCUUUUAGGAACCAGCCGCCUAAGGUGGACCA